This 481-nucleotide ribosomal RNA is filed under the name uncultured Methanosaeta sp. RNAcentral's name for it is "bacterial SSU rRNA". It matches the Rfam family "Archaeal small subunit ribosomal RNA", at positions 857 to 1338 of the family's 1478-position model. The record is from RNAcentral. Lineage: Archaea; Methanobacteriati; Methanobacteriota; Methanomicrobia; Methanotrichales; Methanotrichaceae.
CAAAGGAAUUGACGGGGAGCACCACAACGGGUGGAGCUUGCGGUUUAAUUGGAUUCAACGCCGGAAAUCUUACCGGGACCGACAGCAAUAUGAAGGCCAGGCUGAAGACUUUGCCGGAUUAGCUGAGAGGUGGUGCAUGGCCGUCGUCAGUUCGUACUGUGAAGCAUCCUGUUAAGUCAGGCAACGAGCGAGACCCACGCCCACAGUUGCCAGCGUACUCUCUGGAGUGACGGGUACACUGUGGGGACCGCCGCUGCUAAAGCGGAGGAAGGAAUGGGCAACGGUAGGUCAGUAUGCCCCGAAUAUCCCGGGCUACACGCGAGCUACAAUGGUCGGCACAAUGGGUACCGACCCCGAGAGGGGUAGGCAAUCUCCUAAAGCCGAUCGUAGUUCGGAUUGAGGGCUGAAACUCGCCCUCAUGAAGCUGGAAUCCGUAGUAAUCGCGUUUCAACAGAACGCGGUGAAUACGUCUCUGCUCCUU